ACGCCUGUAGCAAUACAGGAGUGGCGCACGGGUGAGUANNNCCCGGGAACCUGCCUAGUGGUAAGGAAUAACCGCGGGAAACUGCGGCUAAUACCUUAUGAGCCCUACGGGGGAAAGAUUUAUCGCCAUUAGAGGGGCCCGCGUCCGAUUAGCUAGUUGGUGAGGUAACGGCUCACCAAGGCGACGAUCGGUAGCUGGUCUGAGAGGAUGAUCAGCCACACUGGGACUGAGACACGGCCCAGACUCCUACGGGAGGCAGCAGUGG
Molecule: ribosomal RNA, 265 nt
Filed under: uncultured bacterium
Lineage: Bacteria
Description: partial 16S ribosomal RNA
Rfam family: Bacterial small subunit ribosomal RNA
Source: RNAcentral